AUCUUCAAUUUGUUCAUAGUAACCAAAUUGAACAUAUUGCCUUAUUCUGUUAUGUGUAUGUAUGUCCUCUUGGCUGCCAAACUCUGGAGAGCUCAAAACAAGUGUGCAAGCAAAACUGAAAGAGGUUAAUAUCACAAGAGAACCUGCCACUUAUAAAGGUCUUCUCUGUGUUGAUUCUCAGAGACAUGUUAAUGGUCAAUUUAAUAAAAAUAAUUUAGUAAUUUUUUGCCUGACACUUUAGAUUUAAUUUUUUAAUUAAAAUAACAUAUAAUAAACAGACAAAGAUUUUGUCAUUUUAGAUAAAGUUAGUAACUUUGGCUUUGGUUUUCCUUCUGGUUCCUCAGUGCUUUUUUGCAGUGUUUACCUAUCUGUGGUCUCAUGUCUUUCCCAUUAAUUCAUUGAAAUUGCUGUCAUCAUGUUUGUUAUUAAAUUCAAGUGACAUUUCUCAGUUCUUAACCUAUUUGACCUCUUAUUUAUCCAGCCAAAAAAUAUAUACCAAAUAGCUACUAAGUGCCAGGCACUGCAUUUAGAUGAUAGGAAUAAAUGCUGAAGUAGACAUAUAAAGUCCCUACAGUUGUGGCAUUUACAGUGGAAUAGGAGAGCUUAAUAUUAAACAGUUACAUAAACAAUUAUUCAAUUACAAUAUGAUUAAUGAUACAAAGAACAAAUAUAGCGUGCAAUAAGAGCAUAUAAAUGAAAAAUAUAAUUUAGUUGGAUAUGUCAGGGAAAUGUCCCUGAGAAAAAGACAGCUAACCUUAAUAUUAAAACUUAUUUACUCAAAAAUAAGUGUGCGAAACUGUAUAGUUAACUUAUCUUCAAUUCAGUCAAUCUAAAACAUCAACUAAAUAAUGUAUUCACAGAUAUACCACACAAUGACAGUUAGUGUUCGUAAUGAUAAUCUUGGAUGAGAAAAGAGCCUACAGGGUCUUUUAGAUCAUCACAGUUAAAUUAUACUUGGCUAAUAUAGUUUGAAUAUUUAGUACAAUUUCAUGUUCAAAACUUCUGAAACACUUUUAUUCACAUGUAGACCAUAUAAUACUUAUAUUAUAGUAGACCAUCCUAUUUCACAAUCAAAUUAUACAACAGUAUACUAAAUUAUCAUAUCAGUUUUUUGUUUCUUUAAUAGUUGCUAAUAUAUGUGUAUAGUUGUGAACAUACCUGUAUAUGUGUAUGUGAUAUGUAUAUAUAUCAACUGUAUAGUUAAAACACCACAUGUAUAGAAGAGACCAUCUGACUAGUAUUUAAGCUUAGCCAUGAGAAUGGAAUUUGGAAGAUGAAGAAUGUGACCUGGAGGAAAGAAGAAAAUGAUUACAGAGGGGCAUUUGAGAGUGAGAGGAUAGAGAAGAGAGAAAGAGGUUGAGGAAAGAAGAUAUCAGAGUCCCCUCACUGCCCUCCCCAUUAACACACUCAAGGCUAAGCUAGUGAGGGGAGAGUAUCUUUGGGAUACUGGACAAAAUAUGGAAUUCCAAGAACCAGGAAGCUUUUGUCUUAUUCUAAAAGGAUAUAACUUGCAGGCUGUCUCCAGAUCAAUUGAGUGGUAGAUCCAUAUUACAAAUAAACAUGAUAGCAGAGUGUGAUUAGGCAGAAGAAGGUGCAUCUCAGCACCUCCUUCUGUGUAAUGUGGAAAUGAGCAGCUAUUGUAGUGGGAAUGAGCAACUCCACAGUAAAGGCAUUAGGCUGUGCCAUCUGGGCAGUGGAUGACAGAGAUAUCAGUGUGUGGCUGGGGUCUGAAGCCUGUUCAGGGUCAAGAUGAGCCUAAGUCAUCCAGAAAGGCUGAUGAAAUCAGCAAAAGUCAGCCAGACAAAGGGCACUGUCAAGGCCAUCAUAUGGCUCUAAGCAUCCCUUUUCCCACCUCCUCAAGAGCACCAAGAAAGACACCAACAUCCAUUGCCAAUUUCCUUCUCCUUGCCAGUAGGGAGGCUGAAAAAAAACAGAUACUCUCUUUCUAUUAAUAUAUCUUCCUUAUAGAGUAGGAUGGAUAUUUGGCUAAGUAUUGAUCAAUAAGAUAAAGUGGAAUUUGCUGGGUGGUGGGCGGGGGUCCUUUGUGUAAUAAUUUUGUGUCUUGAUAAAGUAGGAAUAUGGCUGGGACCAUCCCUGACUCUCUUUUUUCCUUGAAUGUGAACACAUGAGUGAAGCAUACAUCCAUUGUCCAUGGGGCAAGAAACAUGAGGAUGAAAAGCCAAUAUGUUAAGGACAUGAAGUGAAAAGCGGGAAGAGCUUCUUAUUCAUGUUAUCACUGAGCAGCGGGAACUGGGGGCUCUGCUCAUUAUAGUUGCCCACGGCCUCCAGUCAAUGAAAUUUCCGGCCAAUGAAAUGCUCUACUGUGACUGAAGCAGCAAAGAGAAGAUGGGUGGCUUUGAAAUCAGAAUUGGAUGCAGAGGGAGUCCCAGAGGCCAACACUGUGAACAUAAGAAGGGAAAGACCAGUUCUGCAAGCACAGAUGUAAUUUUGAGAAGCAGAGCUACAGUUCUGCCGGAGGCCUCUCCAGAUUGUGAUGCACUGGGAGCAAGCCACCAUGAACAUAUCCUCAGGUCUCCAGUCUUCUGCCAUCGCAUGAAAAAUGGAGCUUGUCAAACACAGAGCAGAGCUGAACUUUCUGAAUUCCACAGGACAGUUCAGAGUGCUUGGAAUGACACCCACCUGCAAUUUAAACAAAAAA
This is a long non-coding RNA of Homo sapiens (human), 2659 nucleotides long. The record is from Ensembl. NCBI's taxonomy places the organism in Eukaryota, Metazoa, Chordata, Mammalia, Primates, Hominidae.